This 73-nucleotide transfer RNA is filed under the name Stomatobaculum sp. RNAcentral's name for it is "tRNA-Phe". It matches the Rfam family "tRNA". Rfam says of the family: Transfer RNA (tRNA) molecules are approximately 80 nucleotides in length. Lineage: Bacteria; Bacillati; Bacillota; Clostridia; Lachnospirales; Lachnospiraceae. The record is from RNAcentral.
GCCUUGGUAGCUCCGAUGGUAGAGCAACGGACUGAAAAUCCGUGUGUCACUGGUUCGAUUCCCGUCCAAGGCA